AGGACGAACGCUGGCGGUGUGCUUCACACAUGCAAGUCGAACGGGGUAGCAAUACCCAGUGGCGGACGGGUGAGUAACACGUGGGAAUCUGCCUUUAGAUGGGGGAUAACUGACCGAAAGGUUAGCUAAUACCGCAUAUGCCGCAAGGUAAAAGGAGCAAUCCGUCUGAAGAUGAGCCCGCGUCCGAUUAGCUAGUUGGUAGGGUAAAAGCCUACCAAGGCUACGAUCGGUAGCUGGUCUGAGAGGAUGAUCAGCCACAAUGGGACUGAGACACGGUCCAUACUCCUACGGGAGGCAGCAGUGGGGAAUUUUGUGCAAUGGGGGAAACCCUGACACAGCGACACCGCGUGAGCGAAGAAGCCCCUUGGGGUGUAAAGCUCUGUCGACAGGGACGAAAAAAUGACGGUACCUGUAGAGGAAGCAUCGGCUAACUACGCGCCAGCAGCCGC
This 449-nucleotide ribosomal RNA is filed under the name uncultured bacterium. RNAcentral describes it as "SSU rRNA". It matches the Rfam family "Bacterial small subunit ribosomal RNA", at positions 26 to 518 of the family's 1533-position model. The record is from RNAcentral.